Topomyia yanbarensis is the source of this 1039-nucleotide long non-coding RNA. RefSeq lists it as uncharacterized. The record is from RefSeq and is a predicted model, not a curated record. Lineage: Eukaryota; Metazoa; Arthropoda; Insecta; Diptera; Culicidae. The transcript is spliced from 3 exons.
UUACCAUGCCAUUUGUUGUGCCAUUCUGUUUGUGAAAAAAUGGAAUACAUCUUGGAAACGAGUGCGGAGUACAUUUAUAGUAAAUUUCCAACAGACAAAUAGAAAUUAUUCGGACGAGAAACGUUCGUGAGCCCUGAGAUUACUCCUGACCACUCAAGUGGGGUUGCUGCCGGACUAUCAACUAGGACAGCUUUAGUCUGUGUUAAAUUUAGUCCGAUGCGUGGGGUCAUUUUGCAUUGACGGGAUCAUCGAAACAGCAUUUUUUUUCCGUAUCUUUCCGGCAUCGUUAGCCAUCGUGGGAAUUUAGCAGACUUGUUUAAAUUGGAUUUAAUGCUAAACCACCCUUAGCACAUAAGAUUGAGCUACUUGUUCCUCCCAUAGGUACUCCCAAUAAGAUCAGUGGUGACACUGUCAAGGUAACUGGAAGCAAGAUGAUUCUGAAAAUCUUUCUUGACCUUCCAAUUCGAUUUGUCAAUCGCUUUGGAGGAACGAUGUGCGGAAACGACAAUAUUUGUUAGUUUUCAGGAAUCUAAAAGAAGUGCGUCAUUUGAUAAUUAAGCAUACUAUACAAUGUUAAUUUGAUGGUUUGCAUACCAUUCAGACAACGAUUACAUUGAUGAUAGCAAAAGUGUUGCUGUCAAAUGUUCCACGAAGUAAAUUCUUUGGUGUUAAGGGAUUGUGUCAUCUUCCUAAAUACUGGGAAAGCCAAUUGAACAUACCGUUGCCGCAACGUGCUGUCGGGUAUAAAGCGACUCUGCUUCGCGAUGUUCAGAAGAAUUUCCGUCUCAAGCUGCUGACUCGAGGCGCACGGUUCAACAUUCUAUGAACGAAAAGUCCAGAAUAUGGUGAUGACCGGUGGCAGUAUGCUAGUAAGUCCAGUAGGAAUUCUGGCUGGCUCUAAUUAGAAUCGGUUGUGUCGCUGGAGCUGAAUCAUUUUCCGGGUGGAUUUACUGGGAUAGUGCAGGUGUAAUGAAAGGCAAUAAAGUUGGCAAAUUUUUCGCAACUUAUUAAAAUGUUGCUGUUUUAAAUAAAUUUCAUU